This 506-nucleotide ribosomal RNA is filed under the name uncultured bacterium. RNAcentral's name for it is "partial 16S ribosomal RNA". It matches the Rfam family "Bacterial small subunit ribosomal RNA", at positions 28 to 523 of the family's 1533-position model. The record is from RNAcentral.
GACGAACGCUAGCGGCAGGCUUAAUACAUGCAAGUCGUGGGGCAGCAGGUCUGUAGCAAUACAGAUGCUGGCGACCGGCAAACGGGUGCGGAACACGUACACAACUUUCCUUUAAGUGGGGAAUAGCCCAUAGAAAUUUGGAUUAAUACCCCGUAACAUAGUGAAAAGGCAUCUUUUUAUUAUUACAGCAGCAAUGCGCUUAAUGAUGGAUGUUCGUCUGAUUAGGUAGUUGGCGGAGUAAUAGCCCACCAAGCCUACGAUCAGUAACUGGUGUGAGAGCACGACCAGUCACACGGGCACUGAGACACGGGCCCGACUCCUACGGGAGGCAGCAGUAGGGAAUAUUGGGCAAUGGACGCAAGUCUGACCCAGCCAUGCCGCGUGGAGGAUGAAGGUCCUCUGGAUUGUAAACUUCUUUUAUCUGGGAAGAAAUCCAUCUUUUCUUGGGUGGUUGACGGUACCAGAUGAAUAAGCACCGGCUAACUCCGUGCCAGCAGCCGCAGUAA